GAAUAAUGAAAUGGUGUAGGGUAGGCUGAAACGAAAUAAAAUCAAGGCUAAGUGUGGCGUUGGGGAAGUAGAUAAGAAGAAGAAGAACUCACUUGUUCGGAAUUCAAAAGAUGAAUAAACCUGGAAUUUUUUUUUCAACACUUCACUUUUUUUUAUAGCUUCGUAUUUUUUUCUUUUUUUUUUUGAAUUUUCGUAAUUCUUUUUUUUACUUUUCCAAUACAAUAUGAUGAAUACAAAUGAAAACAAACGCAACCAUUUUUUUU
Molecule: long non-coding RNA, 263 nt
Filed under: Gossypium raimondii (Peruvian cotton)
Lineage: Eukaryota; Viridiplantae; Streptophyta; Magnoliopsida; Malvales; Malvaceae
Description: long non-coding RNA (GRAI_LNC004509)
Source: RNAcentral